RNAcentral lists this ribosomal RNA (253 nucleotides) under uncultured bacterium. RNAcentral describes it as "partial 16S ribosomal RNA". It matches the Rfam family "Bacterial small subunit ribosomal RNA", at positions 524 to 776 of the family's 1533-position model. The record is from RNAcentral.
UACAGAGGUCUCAAGCGUUGUUCGGAUUCAUUGGGCGUAAAGGGUGCGUAGGUGGCGCGCUAAGUCAGGUGUGAAAUUUCGGGGCUCAACCCCCGAAACUGCAUUUGAUACUGGCGUGCUUGAGGACUGGAGAGGAGACUGGAAUUCACGGUGUAGCAGUGAAAUGCGUAGAUAUCGUGAGGAAGACCAGUGGCGAAGGCGGGUCUCUGGACAGUUCCUGACACUGAGGCACGAAGGCCAGGGAGCAAACGGG